GCAGAGUCGGCAGAAUUUGAACUCAAAACAUAAAAGCGGACGAAAUACCACUAAGCAUUUUGCUCUGCCUGUUCGCUGCCAUAUACAAGAGAAUAAUAUUCAUUGAUUUCCUCAUUCAAAUAAGAUAUACAUGAAAAUGCGAUCGUCUGAACAAUUAGAAUCAUUCCUCUGCAAGCUACCACUCCAUUUUGUCAAAAUAUAACAUUUAGCGUAGUGUGAGGUUAAGUAGUGUUAAAUUUCAACGAGUAUGAAGCAUGUUAUUCAAAAUGGUUUUGACCACCGUAAAUUUGCAUGACAACGGAAACGACUUUUCAAUAUAUUUUAUUUAAUUCACCGAAA
This is a long non-coding RNA of Octopus bimaculoides (California two-spot octopus), 339 nucleotides long. RefSeq lists it as uncharacterized. NCBI's taxonomy places the organism in Eukaryota, Metazoa, Mollusca, Cephalopoda, Octopoda, Octopodidae. The record is from RefSeq and is a predicted model, not a curated record.